This 1985-nucleotide unclassified non-coding RNA is filed under the name Hevea brasiliensis (rubber tree). The record is from RNAcentral. Lineage: Eukaryota; Viridiplantae; Streptophyta; Magnoliopsida; Malpighiales; Euphorbiaceae.
AAAAAAAAAAAAAAAAAAAAGAGAUAAAAACAGAACCAAAACAGAGCAGAAUCGGGUACAGGGCAAGAAAACAGAGUCCCCUUUUCUGCUUGAGCGCCGAAACAGGGAAUUGAGAGGGAGAAUGACCCAAACCUGAAAUCAAUCCAUUUCUUUGAUUAAAUCAAGUCUUCAGUACCUAUUCUUGUCUUCCCAAACCGAAAUCCUUCAUUGAGAACGCCUAAUCACCAUUUUUCUCAAUUUAGACCCACUUGAUUGAAGGAAGGAAAAGGAGGACAGCAACUACCCUCUCCAAUUUUGAGGUUUUGAUCCUUAUUUUCAGUCAUGCUCUUCAUGGUAAUUUCUCUACAUCUACCUUUUUCCAUUAAACAAUAUUAUUUCUUACUUUCUCACCUAGAAGAUGGUUGAGUGAGGGAAAGAAACCCAUAUGGCUGUCCUUCAUCAAUAGCUCAUUUAACAUUCAUGAGAGCAUGUAGCUUUUCUUUAACCUUAUACAGCAACCUAGAAGUUGUUCCCAAGUCGUCAUUUGAGUAAGUGAUUGAAGAAGGAGGAAAUUGAAGUUUGGAGGGACGGUUUAUAUUGAUAAGUUUGCUUCGAAUGAUGCUUACCAAUGGGUGUGGUGAUUACUAAAGGAUUUUAUAUAAGCGCUAAAUUGACCAUGGCUGCCCCUUUUUGAUAUUUUUAAUAUUGUUGAGUUUAAGAGCAUGUAAGGAAAGUAGAAGAUAUAAAUAGUAAUUACUAUUAUUUUAUGCAUGUUUAAAUUAAGCUGCUAGGUUGAUUUGACAGUAAACCAUGUUAGAAUUAUAAAUAGAUAUUUUUAAUUUAUAUGAUGUGAAAUUGUUGUUGAUCAUGUGAAUAUUACACUGCGUCUUUCGCUACAGGAUAGGUACAACGGAUAAUUUUGAGUAACGAAUAAAAUAAUCUCAUAGAUGUUAAAGACGUAUAUUUAUUUAAGAAUUAUUUCAAUUACCCUAUGAUAUGUUAUGAUUUACUGAGUGCUUGUUAGAAUUAUUAGAUUUUUAGAGAACAUUUAUAUCAUCAGUCCUUUAUUAGAAUUUUUAAAGUACAUUAUACAUUUUACUUUCCACUCUUUCAUCCUAAGAAUUAAAUUUCUUUCUUGAUAUAUUAUUAUUCUCUUUAAUUUUAAGAAAUGACCUAGCUCCAGUCGUAGACCAUAGGGGUUAUCCAGCUGUUUAGAUUUUGUAUUAUCUAUAAUACAGGUGAGUGGAUAAAUAUAUAACAUUAGUAUUUUAUUAAAUGUAAAUUAUUUAUAUUAUUAUUUCUAAGUAUGAAAAUGGGAACAGAGAAUGGUAAUUUUAUAUUUUAUUAUUAAAUAAAAUGAGAUUUACAAUUACAGCUUGAUAAAUGGCCGAAUACACUCAAUAUAUUCAUCGAAUAGACAACACCCCAAUAACGGGUGAAUUAUUUUUAGCUCAGUUUAUAUUUAUACUGUCUUUGAGAUAGUGCUUGAUAUACACAUAGCUUUUGGGGCGUAUAUCAGGUGGUCGCUCUUUGGGGUUAGUUUUGCACUUGUGUAUGACAAAUAUUUUUAUUGCGCUUGGGUCGGUAGUGUCAUCAUAGAGCUCAAUAUGCCAGUAUUGCUCUCAGGCUGCUAAAGUUUAUUAUUGCGUCUGAUAUGCUAGCAUUAUCUAGAGGAAGCAUAUUGCUAGUGUAUGAGGUAUUGCAGAUUUUAUGAUUUUAAUAUAUUUGUUUCACCAAUAUUGUUACGGCAUGAAUUUUAUUUCAGCUCAGCUACAUGAAUUGGAUUAAAUGAUAUUUAUUCAGCUGACCUGUUCUAAUAUAGUAGAAUUGGUACUAUAAGUACCAAAACCUUAUUUGUUCCCCCUAUGUUAUUUAUUUAUCCGCUCGCUAAGUAGUUGUACUCACCCUCUUAAUUUUUCAAUAUUUCAGAUUCUUUUUGCUGAUUCCACCACUAACAGCCUCUCCUUUAGCGUUGUCCUCUCUUCCACUUUGUCAACUAUAGAAUC